RNAcentral lists this ribosomal RNA (529 nucleotides) under Bacillus sp. CSu4_32. RNAcentral's name for it is "bacterial SSU rRNA". It matches the Rfam family "Bacterial small subunit ribosomal RNA", at positions 50 to 561 of the family's 1533-position model. The record is from RNAcentral. Lineage: Bacteria; Bacillati; Bacillota; Bacilli; Caryophanales; Bacillaceae.
UAUACAUGCAAGUCGAGCGGACCGACGGGAGCUUGCUCCCUUAGGUCAGCGGCGGACGGGUGAGUAACACGUGGGUAACCUGCCUGUAAGACUGGGAUAACUCCGGGAAACCGGGGCUAAUACCGGAUGCUUGAUUGAACCGCAUGGUUCAAUCAUGAAAGGCGGCUUCGGCUGCCGUUUACAGAUGGACCCGCGGCGCAUUAGCUAGUUGGUGAGGUAACGGCUCACCAAGGCGACGAUGCGUAGCCGACCUGAGAGGGUGAUCGGCCACACUGGGACUGAGACACGGCCCAGACUCCUACGGGAGGCAGCAGUAGGGAAUCUUCCGCAAUGGACGAGAGUCUGACGGAGCAACGCCGCGUGAGUGAUGAAGGUUUUCGGAUCGUANAGCUCUGUUGUUAGGGAAGAACAAGUACCGUUCGAAUAGGGCGGUACCUUGACGGUACCUAACCAGAAAGCCACGGCUAACUACGUGCCAGCAGCCGCGGUAAUACGUAGGUGGGCAGCGUUGUCCGGAAUUAUUGGGCGU